GAUGAAGAACGUAGCAAAAUGCGAUAAGUAAUGUGAAUUGCAGAAUUCAGUGAAUCAUCGAAUCUUUGAACGCACAUUGCGCCCGCCAGUAUUCUGGCGGGCAUGCCUGUUCGAGCGUCAUUUCAACCCUCAAGCACAGCUUGGUGUUGGGACUCGCGUUAAUUCGCGUUCCCCAAAUUGAUUGGCGGUCACGUCGAGCUUCCAUAGCGUAGUAGUAAAACCCUCGUUACUGGUAAUCGUCGCGGCCCCGCCGUUAAACCCCAACUUCUGAAUGUUGACCUCGGAUCAGGUAGGAAUACCCGCUGAACUUAAGCAUAUCAAUAAGCGGAGGA
Molecule: unclassified non-coding RNA, 332 nt
Filed under: soil metagenome
Description: partial contains 5.8S ribosomal RNA, internal transcribed spacer 2, and large subunit ribosomal RNA
Rfam family: 5.8S ribosomal RNA (bases 1-120)
Source: RNAcentral